UGUUGCCCAAGGUGACAACCCAAGAGGGGGGGUGAAUUGGGUUUUCUAAAAAUUAUGUUCCCUAAUUUUUACUUUGAAUAGAAUGCAGCGGAAUAAUAAGAUGUUAUUUACUUAAGCUCUAGGCAAUUACAAGUAAAGCAGUGGAAGAUUAAGCUAGAGCAAUUAUACUAUGGCUUUAGGGUGCAAUUGAUCUAACAUUAACUUAUAGUUGUAUGAUCAAUUUUAAUCUAUGUGUAUGGUAAGAAUGGAGUGGAAGCUAAGCAAAUCACUUAUAACUCUAUAGAAACAAAUCC
This 293-nucleotide long non-coding RNA is filed under the name Phoenix dactylifera (date palm). RNAcentral describes it as "long non-coding RNA (PDAC_LNC007246)". Lineage: Eukaryota; Viridiplantae; Streptophyta; Magnoliopsida; Arecales; Arecaceae. The record is from RNAcentral.